UACAUGUGGGGCAAGCGUUGUUCGGAAUUACUGGGCAUAAAGGGUGCGUAGGCGGCUUGUUAAGUCAGGGGUGAAAGUUUUCGGCCCAACCGGAAAAUUGCCUUUGAUACUGGCGAGCUCGAGUGCGUGAGGGGUAACCGGAACGAGCAGUGUAGCGGUGAAAUGCGUAGAUAUUGGGAGGAACACCAGUGGCGAAGGCGGCUACCUGGACCGGUUCUGACGCUGAGGCGCGAAAGCGUGGGUAGCAAACAGG
RNAcentral lists this ribosomal RNA (253 nucleotides) under uncultured bacterium. Its description in RNAcentral is "partial 16S ribosomal RNA". It matches the Rfam family "Bacterial small subunit ribosomal RNA", at positions 524 to 776 of the family's 1533-position model. The record is from RNAcentral.